AGUGAACGCUGGCGGUAGGCCUAACACAUGCAAGUCGAACGGCAGCACAGUAAGAGCUUGCUCUUACGGGUGGCGAGUGGCGGACGGGUGAGGAAUACAUCGGAAUCUACUUUUUCGGGGGGGAUAACGUAGGGAAACUUACGCUAAUACCGCAUACGACCUACGGGUGAAAGCAGGGGAUCUUCGGACCUUGCGCGAUUGAAUGAGCCGAUGUCGGAUUAGCUAGUUGGCGGGGUAAAGGCCCACCAAGGCGACGAUCCGUAGCUGGUCUGAGAGGCUGAUCAGCCACACUGGAACUGAGACACGGUCCAGACUCCUACGGGAGGCAGCAGUGGGGAAUAUUGGACAAUGGGCGCAAGCCUGAUCCAGCCAUACCGCGUGGGUGAAGAAGGCCUUCGGGUUGUAAAGCCCUUUUGUUGGGAAAGAAAAGCAGCAGGUUAAUACCCCGCUGUUCUGACGGUACCCAAAGAAUAAGCACCGGCUAACUUCGUG
This 492-nucleotide ribosomal RNA is filed under the name uncultured bacterium. Its description in RNAcentral is "partial 16S ribosomal RNA". It matches the Rfam family "Bacterial small subunit ribosomal RNA", at positions 29 to 507 of the family's 1533-position model. The record is from RNAcentral.